Molecule: ribosomal RNA, 846 nt
Filed under: uncultured archaeon
Lineage: Archaea
Description: bacterial SSU rRNA
Rfam family: Archaeal small subunit ribosomal RNA
Source: RNAcentral
AGUUGUAGAAUCACUGGUGAAUAAGGGGUGGGCAAGUUCUGGUGUCAGCCGCCGCGGUAAAACCAGCACCUCGAGUGGUCAGGAGGUUUAUUGGGCCUAAGGCAUCCGUAGCCGGUUGCAUAAGUUUUCGGUUAAAUCUAUGCGCUUAACGUAUAGGCCGCCGAAAAUACUGUGCAGCUAGGGAGUGGGAGAGGUACACGGUACUCGAUAGGAAGGGGUAAAAUCCUUUGAUCUAUUGAUGACCACCUGUGGCGAAGGCGGUGUACCAGAACACGUUCGACGGUGAGGGAUGAAAGCUGGGGGAGCAAACCGGAUUAGAUACCCGGGUAGUCCCAGCUGUAAACGAUGCAGACUCGGUGAUGCAUUGGCUUGUGGCCAAUGCAGUGCCGCAGGGAAGCCGUUAAGUCUGCCGCCUGGGAAGUACGUACGCAAGUAUGAAACUUAAAGGAAUUGGCGGGGGAGCACCACAAGGGGUGAAGCCUGCGGUUCAAUUGGAGUCAACGCCAGAAAUCUUACCUGGGGAGACAGCAGAAUGAAGGCCAAGCUGAAGACUUUACCAGACACGCUGAGAGGUGGUGCAUGGCCGUCGCCAGCUCGUGCCGUGAGAUGUCCUGUUAAGUCAGGUAACGAGCGAGGCCCCUGCGUCUAGUUGCUACCAUUACUCUCUGGAGCAGUGGAGCGAAUUAGACGGACCGCCACAGUUAAUGUGGAGGAAGGAAGGGGCCACGGCAGGUCAGUAUGCCCCGAAACCCUAGGGCUACACGCGGGCUGCAAUGGUAUUGACAUGUGUUCCGAAUCCGAAAGGAGGAGGCAACCAUCAAACAUAUCUCAGUUAUGACUGAGGGC